GGUUGUGGCUCAGUGGUAGAGCACUUGUCUAGCAUGCAUGAAGCAGGGUUCAAUCCCCAGCACCA
This 65-nucleotide transfer RNA is filed under the name Marmota monax (woodchuck). RNAcentral describes it as "tRNA.Ala". It matches the Rfam family "tRNA". From Rfam's summary of the family: Transfer RNA (tRNA) molecules are approximately 80 nucleotides in length. The record is from RNAcentral. Lineage: Eukaryota; Metazoa; Chordata; Mammalia; Rodentia; Sciuridae.